Brienomyrus brachyistius is the source of this 1292-nucleotide long non-coding RNA. RefSeq lists it as uncharacterized. The transcript has 2 exons. NCBI's taxonomy places the organism in Eukaryota, Metazoa, Chordata, Actinopteri, Osteoglossiformes, Mormyridae. The record is from RefSeq and is a predicted model, not a curated record.
CUUACCGGCUACGCGCGCUUAUGAACUUGCUCCUGAAGCCUACCGGCAAAAGUUCCGGAAACGUCAAAACUGCCAGCCAAACCUUUGUUGAGUUCGCUCGAGAGAAGACUGCUCUCUUUGGUCCCUUCACUCUCUGGUGCUGCCGUUUUAGCAAAUGAGGUUCUGCUCGCCCACAAAAGGAUCUUUUCUACUCCCCGCCAUGAUAUCGAUGAACGUCGUAAGUAAAGGGCUCCCGUCCAGAACUGCUAAGUCCUCUGUUUUCUCAUCGGAGUCUCGUGAUUGUUUAUGUUAUGGGUGAGCCUAUUGAGAGAAUUCUAAUUCAUUAUGUUGGUCCACUGCCCAAAACAAAGUCUGGUUUUCAGUACCUCCUGACUUUGGUGUUGCAGCAUGCAGGUACCCUGAAGCUAUUAGGAAGCUGAGUAUCCAACAUCACGUUUCCACUGCAUGCCAUUCAGAAUCGCAAGGAGCUUUGGAGAGAUUUCACCCGACAUUGAAAACCAUGCUUAGAACAUAUUGUUUAGCCCAGGGCAGGGAUUGAGAUGAGGGGAUCCCCCUUCUCCUACUCGCCAUCCGUUACACCCUUCGAGAGUCUCUUGCAUUUCCGUAGUCCUGCCAAACUAGUAUUUGGACAUUCUGCCCGUGGUCCUUUCAGAGUGCUGCAGGAACAGGUUCAGUCCUCAGAUCAGUCCCAGGUCUCCUCAACAAAUAUUUUAGACUCUGUUAGCAGCUUUCGUUUAGGCUUGCAUACUGUUUGUGAGUUAACUACAGUAAGAGCUCUCUAGCUCUCUAGCUUCCUCCCCAUCUCACAUGAAGUCUGGCUCUGAACAGAAGUCAGUACAAAAUUAAUUUCAACUUCUGUUGUUUUACUGCUGUUACCUGGUUCAGCUCUACAGGCUAAGGUCCUUAUGUCAUUGAUUCAAAGCUGAGUGAAACAGCUUAUUCUGUGAAGACCCCUGACAGGAGAAGAAACUCUCAUGUGUACCAUGUGAAUAUGCUCAAGCUAUAAGUGUCCCAUUCCAAAUCUGAAACCUGCCCCGCUUCACCACCAGCCUCUCCAGUAACUGCUGCUUCUGUGAGUCUCUCUCCGUCAGAGUACUCCCCUGAGAUCGAUGGACUUUGCUCAGGAAAUGCCUGUCUGCCGGGAUGUGAUGCAGGCUAAAAUAUGUUUCUUACCGAUGUCACCUGAGGUUAGGGUGUCCAAAGACAUGUGCCAAAACAAAUUUUUUUUUAACUAUAUUUAAAUAACAUUUUUCAUCUGACCAGUAGCGGGAGGAAUUGCACCCCCAGUAAAA